This 254-nucleotide small RNA is filed under the name Mus musculus (house mouse). RNAcentral's name for it is "predicted gene, 56405 (ENSMUSG00002076252.1)". The record is from RNAcentral. Lineage: Eukaryota; Metazoa; Chordata; Mammalia; Rodentia; Muridae.
GCCGGGCGUGGUGGCGCACGCCUUUAAUCCCAGCACUCGGGAGGCAGAGGCAGGCGGAUUUCUGAGUUCAAGGCCAGCCUGGUCUACAGAGUGAGUUCCAGGACAGCCAGGGCUAUACAGAGAAACCCUGUCUCGAAAAACCAAAAAAAACAAACAAACAAAAAAAAAACUAUGUGUGUAGCUCUUGCUGGCCUGGAACUCUAUUGCUUCAUAGACCAGGCUGGCCUUGAAUUCACAGAGAUCCUCAUGCCUGU